AACGAACGCUGGCGGCGCGCCUAAUACAUGCAAGUCGAGCGAGAAGGUGUAGCAAUACACUUGUAAAGUGGCAAACGGGUGAGUAACACGUGGGAACCUGCCUCGAAGUGGGGGAUAACGAUUGGAAACGGUCGCUAAUACCGCACGGUUCUGCUCUGAUGGGAAUGGAGCAGAUAAAGAUUUAUCGCUUUGAGAGGGGCCCGCGGCCGAUUAGCUAGUUGGUAAGGUAAAGGCUUACCAAGGCGAUUAUCGGUAGCUGGUCUGAGAGGACGAUCAGCCACACGGGAACUGAGACACGGUCCCGACUCCUACGGGGGGCAGCAGUGAGGAAUAUUGGGCAAUGGGCGAAAGCCUGACCCAGCAACGCCGCGUGGAGGAUGAAGGCUUUAGGGUUGUAAACUCCUUUUGUGGGGGAAAAGAAUGGAUGGUACCCCAAGAAUAAGUCACGGCUAACUACGUG
RNAcentral lists this ribosomal RNA (460 nucleotides) under uncultured bacterium. RNAcentral describes it as "bacterial SSU rRNA". It matches the Rfam family "Bacterial small subunit ribosomal RNA", at positions 29 to 507 of the family's 1533-position model. The record is from RNAcentral.